Long non-coding RNA from Lemur catta (Ring-tailed lemur), 515 nucleotides. RefSeq lists it as uncharacterized. Lineage: Eukaryota; Metazoa; Chordata; Mammalia; Primates; Lemuridae. The transcript has 4 exons. The record is from RefSeq and is a predicted model, not a curated record.
GAAAGAGGCAGAAGAGACCGGAGCAAGAGAGAGGAGCUCAAACCUGGCCUGGAACAAGCCCCACUUGGGCUCGUUGUGGUUCUGUUUACCAACAAGCAGGAAGAAGGCUAUUGUACUCAGGGUUACAGAAGCGGAAAGAAAUCCAGGAGCCAAGAAAUGGGCUGGGAGACAAUAGUUCCCAUAAUCUCUGCAGGGACGAGGUCCUGACCUAUUGGCUUUAAGAAGCGCCUCAUUUUCAGACCGACUUCUGCAAAGGGGCAGCGUCUACGUUGACAAGGUUAUUGGGACUCAAGUAUUCAGCUGAUUGGGAAGACUUGAGUCCUAAAAGACUACAUUGUUUCUCCUCCUCUGCAGGCUGCUUUAGCUUGAAACAUCUGGGUGUGCCGGGACCCUGAGAUCGCCGGGAGGGACGGCAGACACCGCAGCAGUGGCAGGAGGGCACCUCCCAGUGCCGUCAAGACAGCCCACCGCCGUGCGCAGCCCGCGGGAUGCGUCUCAGCCCAAGCCCCCGUCAG